AAGUACAGUUUAUUGUGCCCACGCUGACCUGCCCAGAUGGCACAAAGAGUUAGGAUGGCCUCAUUCUAGUCCAUUCCCAAAUUAGCUGCUCCUUGGCUGGCAUCUGAUACCCAGCUGGCUGUGAUCGUAUCUGCUGCGAAGAGGGUUAAUGAGACUGAAGUUCACUAGACGAAAGACAGAUGGCCACUCAGUGAGGUUGGUCAUAACUUUCCUUCUAAGGAGUAAGCCUCUUUUAAUUUCAUGGCUGCAAUCACCAUUUGCAGUGAUUUUGGAGCCCAGAAAAAUAAAGUCAGCCACUGUUUCCAUCGUUUCUUCAUCUAUUUGCCAUGAAGUGAUGGGAUCGGAUGCCAUGACCCAAGCAAAGACUUCCUAAAUGAAGUACACAAUGAGCCAAUGCAAUAACUUUAAGGGAAAUGAUGGUGACUGUUAAAGGCUGUUUUAAGAGGGGUCCCAUUGCUGCUGACUUUGGAUGAAUUCAAGAUUGCAUCGAGACUGGGCUACACGGAAGUUCUCAGGCAAAGUUGGACAUUCCAAAGAUGGCAUAGAUGAACAUGACCAGGAACAGCAGGAGGCCGAUGUUAAACAAUGCAGGAAGG
This is a long non-coding RNA of Dama dama (fallow deer), 596 nucleotides long. RefSeq lists it as uncharacterized. The record is from RefSeq and is a predicted model, not a curated record. NCBI's taxonomy places the organism in Eukaryota, Metazoa, Chordata, Mammalia, Artiodactyla, Cervidae. The transcript has 4 exons.